AAUGAAAUGCCUGAAUUAAAGGAUCAUCUUGAUAGGAUGAAAUAUAUAAAUUAAUUAAAUUUAUUUUCAUUA
Molecule: transfer RNA, 72 nt
Filed under: Natula pravdini
Lineage: Eukaryota; Metazoa; Arthropoda; Insecta; Orthoptera; Trigonidiidae
Description: tRNA-Ile
Source: RNAcentral